GAUAUUGCUAAAUAAAUAAGUUUACACAAUAAUUUUGCAAACAUGGGGAAUUUAGGUAAAAUUCUCAGGCUGACAGUUGAGAAUACUCAGGGUACCGGAAAUUAGUUGAGUUUGGGUGCUAACUAGGUCCAGGCUGCUUUUGCUUUUGCUCUGAGGGUCUCAUCUGAGCUGAAUGGAUUUGAACCUGGUUUUGUUCCCACUGGCAAUUCUUUGGAGAGAAGAACAUCACCGAUUGCUAGGAAAGACCUCCUAGUGAUAGCAAAGUCCUUUAGCUGGUUUUGAGGACUUUGUGAGUCUUCUUUGGGUCAUCUCUGGUCUGGAAGGGAUCCUGACUAUCUCCAAAAGUUUCCUGGUUCCUUACUAUAGAUAUUAUCAACUCAACUGCUAAUGAAUUGGUCUCAAUUCCUCCACUCUGCCCCAGAUACAAACCUAUAAACUUGGGCCAUGCAGGUAUAAUGGAUGCUACCUAUAUUCCAUAGCUCUAUGAUGACAAAAAUAUAACAAACCCUUCAGUUGAGAUCUGUUUGCAUUAUGUGCCUUGGCAUACUGUUCAGUAAAAAUGAAAAAGAAGAGAGACACUUUCUGGCCAGCAAAGUGAGAUUCAAAACAUGUCCCUUGGCUCAUCAUGAAGGAAAAUAAAGUGACACCAAGAAGCAGUUAAUAUGGGCCAAGCAGCAAGUCUGGCAUACAACAUGGCAGCAUCAGGACCCUCAGCAGGAGUUGCAGGCAUCUGAGGCUGAUCACGAGCACCAUAUCAGGCUUCCAACCUGUCCCAGUCACUCCUGUGCUAGGGGAGGCAGCUUCUGCUUUGAUUAAUAUCCCAUCAAAUGUUCUGUCCUUGUAAGAUUUCAUUCCACUACCAUAAGGUCAAAGAAGUACUUCCCUUCCAUCUAUAAACUUUAAUGUCUAUCCAUAGAUUAUUAGUGGCCUAUGGAUUUCAGGUAUUCUUUCAUUGAAUCACAGGGAGUCAAAUCCCUUUUGAUUUAGCAGGUGGACUGUAAAAUGAAAAAUGAUAUGCCCCCAAAAUGACAAAUAAAGAGGAUAUAAUUUACA
Molecule: long non-coding RNA, 1053 nt
Filed under: Monodelphis domestica (gray short-tailed opossum)
Lineage: Eukaryota; Metazoa; Chordata; Mammalia; Didelphimorphia; Didelphidae
Description: lncRNA (ENSMODG00000041070.1)
Source: RNAcentral